RNAcentral lists this ribosomal RNA (482 nucleotides) under uncultured bacterium. RNAcentral's name for it is "bacterial SSU rRNA". It matches the Rfam family "Bacterial small subunit ribosomal RNA", at positions 49 to 518 of the family's 1533-position model. The record is from RNAcentral.
UAACACAUGCAAGUCGAGCGGGGACAUGCAACGGAGUGGUAAGGUUUCGGAUGGACAUGAAGAUGUAUGUUCUAGCGGCGGACGGGUGAGUAACGCGUGAGCAACCUGUCCCUCACAGGGGGAUAACACAGCGAAAGUUGUACUAAUACCGCAUAAGACCACAGUGAGACAUCUCGCAGGGGUCAAAAGGAGCAAUCCGGUGAGGGGUGGGCUCGCGUCCGAUUAGAUAGUUGGUGAGGUAACGGCCCACCAAGUCGACGAUCGGUAGCCGACCUGAGAGGGUGAUCGGCCACAUUGGGACUGAGACACGGCCCAAACUCCUACGGGAGGCAGCAGUGGGAAUAUUGGCAUGGGGGGAACCCUUGACCCAGCAACGCCGCGUGAGGGAAGAAGGUUUUCGGAUCGUAAACCUCUGUCCUAUGUGAAGAGUAAGAGACGGUAGCAUAGGAGGAAGCCCCGGCUAACUACGUGCCAGCAGCGGC